UUACAAAGAAACAUUGAUUGUCAUGUCAUGUUCUGAUUGAAUGAUGAAAAUGUAUUGUUGUUGUCAACGUCCAAUCAAAACGUGACACGUGAUAGUUAACGUUA
Non-coding RNA from Glycine soja, 104 nucleotides. Lineage: Eukaryota; Viridiplantae; Streptophyta; Magnoliopsida; Fabales; Fabaceae. The record is from Rfam.